GAUAACGCAGGAGGCGUGCAUAACACAUGCAAAGUCGACGAUGAACUUUUUUGAUUUUUUCGGAAUGAAAAAAAGUGGAUUAGUGGCGGACGGGUGAGUAACGCGUGAGUAACCUGCCUUAGAGAAGGGGAUAGCCUUUGGAAACGAAGAAUAAUACCCUAUGAAACCAUAACCUCGCAUGAGGCCUUGGUCAAAGAUUUAUCGCUCUAAGAUGGACUUGCGUCUGAUUAGUUAGAUGGUGGGGUAACGGCCCACCAAGACAGCGAUCAGUAGCCGGCUUGAGAGAGUGUACGGCCACAUUGGGACUGAGACACGGCCCAGACUCCUACGGGAGGCAGCAGUGGGGAAUUUUGCACAAUGGGGAAACCCUGAUGCAGCGACGCCGCGUGAUUUAGAAGGCCUUCGGGUUGUAAAAAUCUUUUCUAUGGGAAGAAAAUGACAGUACCAUAGGAAUAAGGACCGGCUAAUUACGUGCCAGCAGCCGCGGUAAUACGUAAGGUCCGAGCGUUGUCCGGAAUCAUUGGGCGUAAAGGGUACGUAGGCGGGUAAGCAAGUUAGAAGUGAAAUCCUAUAGCUCAACUAUAGUAAGCUUUUAAAACUGCUCAUCUUGAGGUAUGGAAGGGAAAGUGGAAUUCCUAGUGUAGCGGUGAAAUGCGCAGAUAUUAGGAGGAAUACCGGUGGCGAAGGCGACUUUCUGGCCAUAACCUGACGCUGAGGUACGAAAGCGUGGGUAGCAAACAGG
This 742-nucleotide ribosomal RNA is filed under the name uncultured Anaerococcus sp. Its description in RNAcentral is "bacterial SSU rRNA". It matches the Rfam family "Bacterial small subunit ribosomal RNA", at positions 28 to 776 of the family's 1533-position model. Lineage: Bacteria; Bacillati; Bacillota; Tissierellia; Tissierellales; Peptoniphilaceae. The record is from RNAcentral.